UCCCUGGAAGUCCAGUGGUUAGGACUCUGUGCUUCCACUACAGGGGGUCUGGGUUCGAUCCCUGGCUGGGGAA
RNAcentral lists this transfer RNA (73 nucleotides) under Bos taurus (domestic cattle). It matches the Rfam family "tRNA". Rfam says of the family: Transfer RNA (tRNA) molecules are approximately 80 nucleotides in length. Lineage: Eukaryota; Metazoa; Chordata; Mammalia; Artiodactyla; Bovidae. RNAcentral also lists the same sequence under 1 other name. The record is from Rfam by way of RNAcentral.